CAGUUAGAGCUUCCUCAUUUGCUAUUUCUGCAGUCACGAGCAGAUUGCUUUCUCAAAAUGGUCUUCUUGCCAAAUCGGGAUGACUUGCCCAAUCAGACCAUUAUCUGUAACUCCUUUAAGUCGGUCGUGGCUGACCCAUGCCUACCUCGAUAAUGCCCGAGGACCUGGUUGACCGAGGUCGAAGUGAUGUUUCACAAUAGUUGCUCCCCACUCUUGAGGCCGGAAGAUCGAUUGAAGAGAGUAGAAAUUCAAAGUCGAGGCUGAUCUCGUAAAAUAUUCUACUUUUGCAGUCGAGCUCAAGCAUCAGUAGGGGUCUAGACAUGUGUCAUGAAUUGAUGUCGCUGAUCUCUCCGAUCCAUUGAUCUAGACUAUUGAAGUUGUGGGUCCGCAUGAGGUCGACUCUAGCCAACCUCGGGCUACUACUUGGU
This 428-nucleotide long non-coding RNA is filed under the name Elaeis guineensis (African oil palm). RNAcentral's name for it is "long non-coding RNA (EGUI_LNC052286)". Lineage: Eukaryota; Viridiplantae; Streptophyta; Magnoliopsida; Arecales; Arecaceae. The record is from RNAcentral.